This 735-nucleotide long non-coding RNA is filed under the name Helianthus annuus (common sunflower). RNAcentral's name for it is "sRNA HanXRQr2_Chr12g0532291". The record is from RNAcentral. Lineage: Eukaryota; Viridiplantae; Streptophyta; Magnoliopsida; Asterales; Asteraceae.
UUUCCAAAAAUUUUACUGGUUCCUGAAUGUAAAUCAUACCUACACAAAAGAAAAUAUGAAGGGUCGUGCAUAGAACAAAAAAGUUACAAAGAAAACAUGUAAAUAUGCAUCAUGUUAUGAUGUAAUCAAAUCUGGCCUGAAGCAAAAUACGUAUGUGAUGAAUGAACCCAGUAGUGUAACAAAAAGGUACAUGAUCAGUUAAUCACUAAAAGGGGAAUUGGCUUGUAAUAAUCCUAUCUAGACCUUAUUGGCCAAUUUCCCAUCACUAAAAUAUAUGUUCAACGUUCACCAUUGAGUACCGACCAAAUAUAUAAGGAAAAGAAUAUAAAGUUAUAAGUCAUAACCAGUCAUAUCUUGUUAGUGAUUAAUAGAUAUAAAAUCAAUAUACUGAUAGAACACUUCCAUAGAAACAACAAUCAAAAUUCAAUUAUAAAAAUGUGACAACAAGAUUCACUACUUCCAUAGAACACUUGAGUUCGGACCUUCAAGGUCAAACAUAUAAAUUCAACUCAGUUGCAUUAUUUCUAGAUUUUGAGCAUUAUAUUUGACUUGUCAACUAAAUUUAAUUAAACAGUGUAAACCUGAAAACAAACCUAGUUAUUGAACAAUCAGAACCAGUACUAAAUGCAGCCGCCUCCCCUUGGAAACAACAAUCCAGAAGCUCAGCAUUUCCGGAAGCUUCAAAAGAGAUUGUUGGAUGCUGGAGCGAAGCGAAUUCUGGAAAUAGCGUCUUGA